AACUAAGGCCAAGCAACGAAUAAAUGAAAGAUGGUGGAACAAAAAAAAAAUCAUGGUUUUUGAAUUUAACUUGGAAAAUACAAAGCCGUAUAGCUAUCCGAAGCUAAACUCAAAUGAACAAAAGUCUAUAUUAUUGAUCAUGGGGAAAUAAACUUAUGCAAACCAUGAGAACUGAAAUAAUCUUGAAGGAUACACAAGAUAUAUGUCAUUAAAGGCUACAAUUCAUAAUGAAACGGACCUAACAUACUAAGAAAAACAGACUUCAUGCUAAAAUAUAUAUUAUCGGAGAUAAACAGGACAAGAGUGGCAAUUCACUGCCUUACACAAAACUUUAAGAACGAACAUAUGAUAGUUCUAAUACAAACUUGAGACAAAGACCUCUAAUUCUAAGCCGCUACGGAGGGAUAAAAGAGCGAAAUGACUUCAAUACAUGCCGGAAAAGAAGAGAGAUCCCCAGAAAAUAAAAGACGAUAGAUAAAAGAGACGGGGAACCUCAACU
This 499-nucleotide long non-coding RNA is filed under the name Solanum tuberosum (potato). RNAcentral describes it as "long non-coding RNA (STUB_LNC011421)". The record is from RNAcentral. Lineage: Eukaryota; Viridiplantae; Streptophyta; Magnoliopsida; Solanales; Solanaceae.